Molecule: transfer RNA, 71 nt
Filed under: Chloroflexota bacterium
Lineage: Bacteria; Bacillati; Chloroflexota
Description: Chloroflexi bacterium (groundwater metagenome) tRNA-Gln
Rfam family: tRNA
About the family: Transfer RNA (tRNA) molecules are approximately 80 nucleotides in length. Their secondary structure includes four short double-helical elements and three loops (D, anti-codon, and T loops).
Source: RNAcentral
UGGGGAAUCGUCCAACGGCAGGACACGACACUCUGGAUGUCGGUAUCUUGGUUCGAAUCCAGGUUCCCCAG